CACUCAGCUUUCUGAAAUGGUGUCCCACCACAAGGACUGGAGAAGGGUAAACCUCAGGUUCUCCUCCUGCCUUUUGCUAAGUAUAUGUCUUGAUGACAAGCCUUCUGCUAAUGAGCUGUGUUUCUGGACCGAUCAUGGUAGAAGUCAAUUGAAGUGUCCCUCACUUGGGGUUUCUUAAGGACAUGCAAGGUCCUCAUGAUUGUCUCAAAACUAUAUAGAAUUGAGAAGCUGCACUGAUGAGGAAACUGAAACAGAAAAUCCAGAGUAAAUUCCACCAGGCCACACAGCAAGGUCUGAUAGAGCCAGGAGAGACUUUAUGAAAUCCAGACUCUCACACUAAUGCUCUAUCAGCUAGACCUCCAUGUGAGUCUCCCCAAUGUAGGUAGGAAGCACUUUCCCUAAAAUGCUCAUAAAGCAAAUCAGAGCAAUGCUUCAUUUCAUGUGAUUUCUAAUUUGAAAUGCAAACAAUUGCCAAUUUGUUUGACUUGUAUUUAUAAUUAUUUCCUUGUGAAUUACUCAUCACUAAAUGCUUUAUAAAUAUUUUCUCUUUUUUUUCUCAAUGUCUAUGGAAUGAUCACAGCAUAGAAAAUGUUGGCUUUCAAGGAUUUAUUAAUAUCUCCUUUUGAAAUAGCAUGUAUUUGUAAGACAGUAUAAAAUCACUUUAAAGAAACAAA
Molecule: long non-coding RNA, 674 nt
Filed under: Pongo abelii (Sumatran orangutan)
Lineage: Eukaryota; Metazoa; Chordata; Mammalia; Primates; Hominidae
Description: lincRNA
Source: RNAcentral